CAGGACGAACGCUGGCGGCGUGCCUAAUACAUGCAAGUCGAGCGGACAGAUGGGAGCUUGCUCCCUGAUGUUAGCGGCGGACGGGUGAGUAACACGUGGGUAACCUGCCUGUAAGACUGGGAUAACUCCGGGAAACCGGGGCUAAUACCGGAUGGUUGUUUGAACCGCAUGGUUCAAACAUAAAAGGUGGCUUCGGCUACCACUUACAGAUGGACCCGCGGCGCAUUAGCUAGUUGGUGAGGUAACGGCUCACCAAGGCAACGAUGCGUAGCCGACCUGAGAGGGUGAUCGGCCACACUGGGACUGAGACACGGCCCAGACUCCUACGGGAGGCAGCAGUAGGGAAUCUUCCGCAAUGGACGAAAGUCUGACGGAGCAACGCCGCGUGAGUGAUGAAGGUUUUCGGAUCGUAAAGCUCUGUUGUUAGGGAAGAACAAGUACCGUUCGAAUAGGGCGGUACCUUGACGGUACCUAACCAGAAAGCCACGGCUAACUACGUGCCAGCAGCCGCGGUAAUACGUAGGUGGCAAGCGUUGUCCGGAAUUAUUGGGCGUAAAGGGCUCGCAGGCGGUUUCUUAAGUCUGAUGUGAAAGCCCCCGGCUCAACCGGGGAGGGUCAUUGGAAACUGGGGAACUUGAGUGCAGAAGAGGAGAGUGGAAUUCCACGUGUAGCGGUGAAAUGCGUAGAGAUGUGGAGGAACACCAGUGGCGAAGGCGACUCUCUGGUCUGUAACUGACGCUGAGGAGCGAAAGCGUGGGGAGCGAACAGGAUUAGAUACCCUGGUAGUCCACGCCGUAAACGAUGAGUGCUAAGUGUUAGGGGGUUUCCGCCCCUUAGUGCUGCAGCUAACGCAUUAAGCACUCCGCCUGGGGAGUACGGUCGCAAGACUGAAACUCAAAGGAAUUGACGGGGGCCCGCACAAGCGGUGGAGCAUGUGGUUUAAUUCGAAGCAACGCGAAGAACCUUACCAGGUCUUGACAUCCUCUGACAAUCCUAGAGAUAGGACGUCCCCUUCGGGGGCAGAGUGACAGGUGGUGCAUGGUUGUCGUCAGCUCGUGUCGUGAGAUGUUGGGUUAAGUCCCGCAACGAGCGCAACCCUUGAUCUUAGUUGCCAGCAUUCAGUUGGGCACUCUAAGGUGACUGCCGGUGACAAACCGGAGGAAGGUGGGGAUGACGUCAAAUCAUCAUGCCCCUUAUGACCUGGGCUACACACGUGCUACAAUGGACAGAACAAAGGGCAGCGAAACCGCGAGGUUAAGCCAAUCCCACAAAUCUGUUCUCAGUUCGGAUCGCAGUCUGCAACUCGACUGCGUGAAGCUGGAAUCGCUAGUAAUCGCGGAUCAGCAUGCCGCGGUGAAUACGUUCCCGAGCCUUGUACACACCGUCCGUCACACCACGAGAGUUUGUAACACCCGAACUCGGUGAGGUAACCUUGUAGGAUCCAUCCGCCAAGAGUGGGACAGAUGAUUGGG
RNAcentral lists this ribosomal RNA (1472 nucleotides) under Bacillus sp. DDG5. RNAcentral's name for it is "bacterial SSU rRNA". It matches the Rfam family "Bacterial small subunit ribosomal RNA". Lineage: Bacteria; Bacillati; Bacillota; Bacilli; Caryophanales; Bacillaceae. The record is from RNAcentral.